UUUUGUUCGCGAGCCCAGUGUGCAAAUAUUUUCGACUGCAGGCCUCAUUAACAGAAGUGUCACUGGUGCUGCAUCAAACAGGACAAAAACGGAGGCCAAGCCACCUUUGGAUACAACAAAAUAUGACAUUCUGAAAGCAUUUUUCAGGCACUACCUCGAGCGCCGAUGCAGCACCGAGAAGAAAUUGCAACAAGACACAGUUGCCUUGGCAAAAUAGUCGCCUGUAAGAUAGCAGACAUCAUGAAGGGACAGAAGAAGCAUAUGCAGUUUUGAUUUUGAGAAUAUAUUUGCACAUAUAUAUGCCUCAAU
RNAcentral lists this long non-coding RNA (309 nucleotides) under Dermacentor andersoni. RNAcentral's name for it is "uncharacterized LOC126526159". The record is from RNAcentral. Lineage: Eukaryota; Metazoa; Arthropoda; Arachnida; Ixodida; Ixodidae.